This is a long non-coding RNA of Gasterosteus aculeatus aculeatus (three-spined stickleback), 873 nucleotides long. Lineage: Eukaryota; Metazoa; Chordata; Actinopteri; Perciformes; Gasterosteidae. The record is from Ensembl.
GCAAGAUAAACCCCAGUGACACACAUUGCUUCUGCAAAAGAAAGUAUAUAAGCCAAGAUGCUUUAACAGAAAAAAAGAGAGAAAAACGCGCCUACUUCUUGUUUCUUGCUCACACACGAAGACGGAGAGUUCUUUUAACCUUUAGGGUUUGAACGAUAUAACUGCUUUUAUUGUUUUUAUAUUCAAUUUUUGUAAACCUUUUCGCUUUUUUAUAUAAAUAAAAAUUCUCCUUUUUGGGGAACAAAAGACCAUUUGUUUCCGGGGGAUUCCUUUCCACUGAGGGGCCUCCUCCCAGGGGCUGAAUGACAAGAACACCGCUUCGAAACCUGCAGACACCGAUUACGCCCAAAAGAUGCCAAACAUACCGGACAUGGACAGCGAUGGAACAGACCCGAAAAAGGUUAAUAAACCCGACCUUCAAGGAGAGGCCUCGCCACGCAGCCGCAAGAAAAGACUCACUGAACUCAUGAAGCGGGUAUCGUAUAAACUCACCAGAUUAAUGUUGGUCAUCAUCCUACUCAACAUCAUCACCCUGAUAGCCAAUCUAAGAGUGGUGGCGUGGAAGGUCAAGGUAACUCACACCACACACCAAGGCAACGUCAUGCAUUACUAUUACAAAACAGGACGCAUUCUGGUUUCCGAUCACACAUUUCUUACCACUAGCAAUAUAAGCACCACGGUCAAAAACGGACCUACCCUCAUGUCUAAAUUACCAAAUCAAAAUCUAGUACUGGAUCCCAAGUACGAGGGAGCCUUAACAUCUAUUAUUUGGAAAACAGACGGCGACCGGGUUGUAGAACGGUUUGAAGACACCUCAAGUGCGUCUGAGGACUAUCGGGGCUUUAAAAACCGAAAUGCUAUACUCAAUGUCAC